UGAUCUGACCUGGCCUUCUCCCAGCUCGACUCUGCUUCCUUCGAAGCCCUGGUCUUAGCAGAUCCUUUGUACCAUGCAGCACUGACGAGCUGUGUGCCUCACGGGUGCCCACUAUCUUGCUCCAUCCUCCUGAGAGCCCUGUCAGCUCAUCUGAGGUUAGAAGACCCACCCCAAGUGUGGGCCGUGCCUUCUGGAGGCAGCCACUGAAAAGGGCUGGCGUGGAAGAGGGAAGCUUUUACCUUCUGCCUGCUUGAUUUCCUUCUCAUUGGUGAGUUCAUCUAUGCUGUUUCUGAGGCAUGCUUUCUCUGGAGUUAGAAGCUAUUUCUUGAGGACUCCAUCAUGGAGUGAAAACUGGUAACUGUCUAGAUCUUCCCUGGAACUCCCACACUUGGUCAGGACUGCUGAGACAUCUAAGCUCAUAAACUAAACAACCACUGUGGAUCCUUGACCUUUCCAGCAGGAGACAGAUACUGGUGGACUACUCAGACCUCAGCCUAUCAGCUACUCCAGCCUGUCAGCUACUCCAGCCUGUCAGCUACUCCAAUACAUUCUGUCAGUUCAGUUCCUUUAAAGAAUGCUCACUAACACGCUGUGCUUUGAGAGUUUAGAGAUGCCACCAUUUCUGUUUUGAGGUGUGACUUCUCAGCUCUCAGCUCUCACCACUGUGUCUGCUGCUGUGCUGUCUGUCCCUACCAAUAUGGACCCUAAUCUGGCACCAUAAGGCCAAAUAAACUCUUUCUUCCAUAACUGU
Non-coding RNA from Arvicanthis niloticus (Nile rat), 751 nucleotides. The record is from RefSeq and is a predicted model, not a curated record. NCBI's taxonomy places the organism in Eukaryota, Metazoa, Chordata, Mammalia, Rodentia, Muridae.